RNAcentral lists this long non-coding RNA (244 nucleotides) under Elaeis guineensis (African oil palm). RNAcentral's name for it is "long non-coding RNA (EGUI_LNC048117)". Lineage: Eukaryota; Viridiplantae; Streptophyta; Magnoliopsida; Arecales; Arecaceae. The record is from RNAcentral.
CUAGCUUGAAUCCUAAAUAUCAACUGAUUAAUCAAAAUUGAUUACAUAGACUGGCUUAUAAACUUAAGAAUUAUUCUUAAUUUUAGAAAAUUAAGCUAUGUUCUCUAUCAAAUCAUUCUAAUGUUAACAACUCAUCCAAUCCAUAGUCAACGAGCUAUACUUGAUGAGUGGAUGGAUAAUGACAAUUAAGAUAGGUGCUAUGCAUGAGCACAUGUUCACUACCAACGACGUGUUGAUUCAUCUG